RNAcentral lists this ribosomal RNA (825 nucleotides) under Triticum aestivum (bread wheat). RNAcentral's name for it is "partial small subunit ribosomal RNA". Lineage: Eukaryota; Viridiplantae; Streptophyta; Magnoliopsida; Poales; Poaceae. The record is from RNAcentral.
AUGGCUAGCUCUGUCCUCGCUGAGGUAGAGCUUGAGCUUUCCCGGGGAUGGUUCUGGUCGAGUGCCUCGGCGGGAGUUUUUUGGGGCUCGGCUUGCUGUGGGUUCAUGAAUGCUUAUGAACAAGAUGAGAGGAUUGUUUUAUUUGCAAACAAGAUCAAGGACUGGGUCAACGUGGUCGUCGCGCACGAACCAGUGUGGGCCAUUGACACCGGUAAAGUUGCAUCACCGGCUCAAGCACAUGAAGAGUCUGAAGGUGGUAGCUUACUGAACUCUCAUUUUGGAAAAAAUCUGGAGAUGUGUAGUGUUGAUAAAGAAAUGCAGCUGCUACCUGGAUUUGCCGUCGCCGCCUCGAGUAGCUUUCGCCUGGAAAUCCAGUCGCCAGCAUGUCACGCGUCGUCUUUGCCUGCCAGGGUUGGCGCUGCUACUUGGCCGGUUACAGCGAGUAGGAAGCUGAUAGGGUGGUAUUUCUCUCUGGUCAGCCAAGGAGUUUGCAUGUCUCUCGGUUCUCUGGGACCAGGUUGCUCAUCAACUGGAUGUGGAGUUGCUUCUGAGCUGGACCUCUCCCAUGAUCACUACAUAGAAAUAGAUACGUCUAGUUUGGUUUCUAAUGUCAUUUGUAGCUUGCCAGCUGCGACCUGGUGGUUGGUGGCAACUCGAUCCACUCCCGGAUCCUUCUUCUUCCACUUCCCCGCCGGCGAGGUUAGCUGCGACCGGGUGGUUGGUGGCGGUUUGAUCCACUCCUGGAUCCUUCUUCCCCUUCCCCGCUGCCUAACACCGAGCACCCGUCAGGGAGCAUGGGAUCGACAACGGCGGCUGAAAACAUGA